AUGGUGGCUGCGAGGGGUGUUUCUGAGCGUGCUGCUUGGACGCGGCUCUUGGUGCCUCCACGUGGGCCUCUCUUGGCGUCUGCACGCGGCCUGGGGGCAAUGUCCGGCCCUGAGGGGCAGGUGGAGAGAAGUCUGCAGUGGGGAAUAUGGCGGAGUGGGUGUCCCUGUGUAACCCCUCUAGGCUCCCCGGUCAUCCUUUUAGUUACAGACUGCCCCAAAGCAGACCAACAGACACAGAGUUUCCUUCCUGCUUUGUGGGUGUGGGGACAGGUGCUGCUGGUCCACAGCUGCUGCUGGUCCACAGCUGCUGCUAGAUGGCUGUUUUCCUGGUACGGUGCUGUGGCUCUGUCUCUGCUUCCUCUUGGCAGAACUUUAUGCUCAGGCAUGCUGUUUGCUUCUGAGAAGUGGGGCGAGGAGUAUGGACGCUCUUUGAUUGAAGAUGAGGUGUGUCAGUGAUGGAGGAGAUUUGAUGCAUGCCUGUGGCUUUGUGGCCAGAAGCACUCCUGGAUUUAUCAGCAUAGAAGAGAUGAACCCAGGUAACCAGCCAGGUGGCUUCUUGAGAUGAUAAAUUGGAGGAAGAUCAGGAGGUAGCAACACCACAACCACUUCUCACCUGGUAAGUGCAUUUCAGAAGAUCAGUUGGUCCUGUUGCAAUCUUUGAAAGUGAGGUUUUAGUAGCAGGGUUGUGGAGCUAGGGUUUAAACUGAUGCUCCCCCCUGAUAUUCAAAAGGCAGAAAACGGUAGAAUUAUAUGUAAAUAAGAAGCCACUCUGGCUUGGAUGUGUCAGGUUCUGAGCCUGGCUGAAAGAGUGCCAGUUCCUGAAUUUGAAUUGAGCAGAAGUUCUGUGCUUGGAGAGGAGAGUGUUUCUAGAUGUGCACAGGCAGCUGAG
This 889-nucleotide long non-coding RNA is filed under the name Meleagris gallopavo (turkey). Its description in RNAcentral is "lncRNA (ENSMGAG00000021303.1)". The record is from RNAcentral. Lineage: Eukaryota; Metazoa; Chordata; Aves; Galliformes; Phasianidae.